UACGUAGGAUGCAAGCGUUGUCCGGAAUUAUUGGGCGUAAAGAGCGCGCAGGCGGUAUGACAAGUCAGAUGUGAAAGAGGCCGGCUUAACCGGCAAGGGUCAUUUGAAACUGUCAGACUAGAGUGCAGCAGAGGAUAGUGGAAUUCCCGGUGUAGUGGUGAAAUGCGUAGAUAUCGGGAGGAACACCAGUGGCGAAGGCGACUAUCUGGGCUGCAACUGACGCUGAGGCGCGAAAGCCAGGGGAGCAAACGGG
RNAcentral lists this ribosomal RNA (253 nucleotides) under uncultured bacterium. RNAcentral's name for it is "partial 16S ribosomal RNA". It matches the Rfam family "Bacterial small subunit ribosomal RNA", at positions 524 to 776 of the family's 1533-position model. The record is from RNAcentral.